GCUGGCAAGAUACAGACAGGUGUGAGUAUAUCUAUGUCUGAAACAAAAUAGUCCAGUGUACACUUUUGACCAUCUCAACCAGGCUGCCAAGAGCAAUAAGCCAUUUCCCAGGAGAAACUGGUCUUUAGCAGCAGUGGCAUUAUCUAGACCACAUUGUAAGCAGCAGGGGCAAAGAUUGGUGGCAGUUUUCCCACACUCUUCCCAUUCUGACUCCUGUAUGACUUGAGAAGGUGAUGGGGAACUUUGAAGGUUCUCAUAGCACCAUGGCCUGCCUUGUGUCUUCCUGGAGUAGUCAUAUCAGCUAGUAGCACUGACUGACCAGCCUCCUCCCCCAUCCCCAGCCUCAGUGACCUUAGAUUUCUGCAGGGAAGGUGUAGUGUGGUCUUCAGAGAAUGGCCCCCUACUUCGUAGCUUUUGGAGAGAACAAGAUAGCAGGUGGUCCCCUACAGGCCCCACACCUAGGACUUUCCCAAACCUAUGCAGCUUUCCUUACUCUGCAUCUCGUCUGCAUCCUGCAUAUGAUGGUCAGUGUAAAGCACACAGGAGCCUGAGAUAGGAAAUUCCACAAAGGAUCAAGAGCGGGAGGUGUUUUAUGGCUUCUCAUAGUAAAAGAUAUAGGAAAUUCUUACAAAGCCAGCACCUCACAAUGUAGGGGGAAACAGCAAUUGUGGUCUGAUUUUUCAGGGUGUGUCCAAGGAGGCAAAUGAUUCCACACUCCGCUGUUCCUGUAAAGCCUGGACCAGUCUCACUCUUAAGCAUUUUCCAGCCUCUUUCCCGGAGGGAGUGUGUCUGCCAAAUGGGGAUAAUGGCAGCUUUUGAAUUAGGCUACAAGGCUUAAAUGAGCAGUUUGCUUCCAGCAGUGCCCUGCAGAUGUUCAUUUCCUGAUCUCCUAUAAUCAACUAUGGAUAUAAAGAUUUAUUUGAAUUGGUGACUUGUCACCAUUUGUUAAAGGCUCUAGAGUUCAGUCAUAGAGGUAAUUGUGAGCUAACUACAGUUAGUUAAAGCUGGAGGCUACUGUUCAUUGGCUGAGGCCUGCACCUGCUUACACUUGGUGCCAGUAGCUGAUUUUAGUGCUCAGAGUAAUUUAGAAAGUUUUACUGCUAUACAGACCUGAAAACCGAGGAACAGGGAGAAGCAGUAUUGGUAGUUGACUACACAGAUUUCAGAGGGAGAUUUGGCCACUGUGUUUUUGAGAACCUGGGCUUUUCUUUCCUUUUUCUUUCCUUCUCUUCCCUUUUCCUUACUGGUCUGUUGGUGUCACUGGCUUAAUGGGCAGCCUCACAUAAGGACGACAAGAUUGAAGACUUCCUGCCAACACAGAUCCAAACUCCACUCUCUGACAAGUUAGUCUCACUAUAGGAUCUAACAGCAUAUAUCCUUUUGCAUGUGUAUGUGUGUGCACAGCAUCUCUAAGCCCAAAGAUGAGUUCUGGUACUUUCCUCCAUUGUUCUCCACUGUAUACAUUACUGAAAAAAGGGUCUCUUGCUGAACCCAGAGAUCAUUGAUUCUGGCUGGUCUAGCCAGCUUGCCCCAGGCUUUUAUGUAGGUUCUGGAGAUCCAAACCAUGGUCCUUAUGCUUACACACAAAAUGCUUUAUCCACUUAGCCAUCUCCUUAUCUGGCGGUAUUAGCAAAUAGCUGGUUAGGGGCUCACUGGACCAAGGAACUUUGGAGGAGGGAACGGUGAACUUCCAUAACCAGGACUUACGGCAUUCUGGCAGCAUGCACUUCUCCGCCUGCUCCAGGUCCUCGUUACAGUCACCCAGCUCUGCCAGAGAUUUGAGCAUCCGCUGGCGGGUCCGCAUGCCCUUCCCACAGGUCACGCUACAGUCGCUCCACUCGGACCAGGGAGACAGCAAGCACGGGAUGGUAUCUAGGUCAAGAGCCAAGUUUGGCACUGAGAACAGGCACCUUUUGUUGGGUUUGAUCUUAGCCCUACGAUUUCCCCACCAGCCACUAGCCACUGGAAUAGAAUAGAAUUAGACCCUGGGUUCAGAGCGAACAGCUUAGAGUAGGAAGUGGCUCUUUGCCGAUUGGGCUUGCUACUCUUCUGCAUCUCCUGUGGCCCAGCCGGUGGUCAUGGCCCGAUACAGGUGAGGACAAUGCAGUAGAGUGCAAGGUCUCUCUCAACAGAGGCACCACUGAUUUAAUGGGAUCACUAAAUUCAAUUAUAGUCACAAUAGGUUUAAUGGGGCCUCACUAAAGAAUACCCCAGACAGAGAUUGGCUCAGUGCUGCAAUUCUGCUUGUCUGAACUGAAAUCCCUGGAAUGUGUGUGUGCUUAUGUGCACAUCGAUAUGCAUUUGUGCAUAGAGUGGCCAGAGUUGUGCCUUAUUUCAACUAAGAAGGCCAUUGUAAAAUGGUAAUAUGCUGCAUACAAUGGUGUGUGCUUUUAAUCUCAGUGCUUUGGUGGCAGAGGCAGGUUGAUCUCUGUGAGUUCAAGGCAAGUCUGGUCUAUAUAGCGAGUUCCAGGCUAGCCAGGGCUUCACAGUGAGACCCUAUAUCAACCCCACAAACAAAAAACCAGGAAUCGAUUAGACUUAGCCAGUGAUGUCUUAUGUAAAUUUACUGUCCCAAGGAAAAUGCUUCUAUGGAACACAGGUGAAUUCUAUCCAGGAGCCACCAGUUUGAAGCUCCCUACCCAAAGCCCUCCCCAUAUCCACUCACGGCACUCAGGCAUCAUGCAUUUCUCCGCCUGCGAUGUCUCUGCCUUGCACAUGGAGCCGUCCGCGGGGCUCAUCUUGACCAUACGGUGCCUCUUCUUCAUACCCAUCCCACAGGUGGCACUGCAGUCGUCCCACUCACCCCACUCAGUCACCAGGCAGCUGCUAGGAGCUAGGGAGUCCAAACGGUUGGAGUUGUGCAGCUUGUGCUGGGAUCCACCUGCUUGCCCCACCUACCUCCAGGGCGCCCCCAACUCACAGCACUCCUCGUUGACUGUGCACUUCUCCGUCUCCUCCGUGGGCAGCAUGCACACUGAGCCGUCUUCCGGGAACUGCUUCACGUAUCUCUCCCGGGACCUCAUGCCCAUGCCGCACGAGACGCUACAGGGCGACCAGGUGAUCCACUCCGACAUGGUACAGGUGGAGCCAUCUGUAACACACCAAGCAUGCGCAGAGGAGGGGCAGAAAAGAAUCUGGGGUCGGUAUAAGAGAACUCUGACUCUGGAAGGAGAGGUGUUUACAGAGAGUGUGCCCCAGGUUCAAGGAACAGCCUCAGUGGUUUAGAACUCUCAUUCCUCCUGGGAGAACCUGCCCGUACAAAAACAAGAGGAGGGCAGAGAUUUCAGCUCUACCACUGGCAUUUAGCGUCCUAGCUCUAGUCCCUAGAAAGGAGCCUCGGUGUUGACAGUGACUUCUCCCUGUCCCCUUGUAAGCUCGUCUAUAGCAGCACUUGUUCCCUUACAUGGUGCUCUCUCUAGGACACUGAUGGCCUGGAGAAGGGACCCUUCUUUCCUUCCUCCAUGUCCUGUGCACCAGUUCUUUUCAGACAGGCCGAUUAAAUAAGAUUGUGAGGUGGGACCCCAACCAAUGGAUAAAAGACAUAGCCACCACCUGCUUUAGAGUAAAAACCAAAUACUCUUCCUGUCUCCUGUGUGUGCGCUCUUCCCUAACACUCUCUGGAUUAAGAGUAAAGUUUGCAUUGUCCAGACACCAGUCAGAGCAGUGGUCUUUUGGGGAAGGGGGGAAGGGGUUGUGGAGACUUUGGGAAGCAGGCCUAUCUUGGGAAAGUGCAUUACUCUUCCACACCAUGAUGUUCUAUGAAGAACAUGGGUCAAGCAACCACUGGCUAAAUCCUCUAACGGCCAAUAAAUCCUUUCCCCCUAAUGUUUUAACAGGUGGUCUGGUCUAGGUGACAUAAAAGUAGCAUGAGGGAAGAAUCCAGUUGGUGUUGGAAUUCUGUUAUCAGAUGAUGGGCUGUGUAUUCUGAGGCCUCAAGAUACUGUAGGAGGCACCCAUUCCGGCUGGACGUCAUUGACAAUGAUGCGACUCUAAAAGGGUGUAAGGGAGCCAUGUUGCCAGGAAGCCCUCCCUCCUCGGAGUGUCUGUCUCCAGGCGGCCUGGAGUGUCUGUCUCCUGACCUUCAUCGCUGCAGCCUGGGCCCAUGCAGGGCUGGAAGUCCUGGGUGUCAGGACAGGGGACACUGAGGUCCAGCUGUGCCUUCAGCAUGCGCUGCCGCAUCCUCUUGCCCUUUUCACAAGUGGAAGAGCUGCAGGCCGACCAUGGGGACCAGUUGGAGUAGAUGCAGGUUUCAGGGGUGUCAUCUGCAAAGAGUGUUUGACAUGUUCUCCCUGGGAGCCUGUGGAACCUAUGACUGGCUCUUUGCAUAGAGGCCCAUCUGUGUGGUCCAGGGAUGAGAGCAGACAUCCUUUUCCUUUGAAAAUGACGUUCUAACAUCCUGCUGGUAAAUAUCUAAUGAAUAGCGACCAUGCUCUCCCUGUAAGGACCGUUUGCAUGUGUGCAUGUUCUGGUCACUGCCUUGUCCUUGGCAGACAUUGUUUCCAUGCAUGUAUGUACUUCAUAGGCAGUCUUAGAAAGCUCACGAAUUUUUUGCAACCUCAUUGGCUCCACCCACUGGUGUCAGUUCACUGAGCGAGUGCCCUGUGCUGGCAUCCUUAAGAACCUUACUUAACUGAGCCUACUGAUCCUCAUUUUCUCCGAGGCAGCCUCUGUUAUGAACAUUUCUUCAUUGAGGGAAGAGAGGUAGGAAAGUUGGCUUGUCAGGGUUAUAAACAGUAACAAAGUCUAGGAUCUGUGGGGAAACUUAAAUUCAAGCCAAGGCUCUGCCUCUUUCUCUUGACUGUAGUACCUGGACUCCCGUCCUCCAUGAGGGGUAGAUGAACUGUCAUGGAAGAACAAGCAUCAAAACAGCAAGUGAUCUAGAAGCUACGACACCUACCAAAUGCCAUCUUUACUGCCACGAUAGACAGCUAAUGUUAAGUACUUAUUCUAACAUCACUCCUUCACCAGGUGGCUGACACUUGGUGCCCAGUGUUGGCCUUGGAUUUUAGCCUUUUUCUUUUAGGGUGCUGGAGAUAGAAACCAGGGCAUGGUCCAUGAUAAGCACAUGUUAAGACACCAGCACCCCCCACCCCAGGCCUGGUUGUUUCAAAGACCCUGUCAGAGGCUACUGGUCACAUCAGUUUGUAUUGCCACCUGCAACAAAGGAGAACAACAUACCUUCAUCUUUCUCUUCUGGAGCCAGGUCGGCUACAAUAUCGUCCACGUUGUCAGGUACAAUGUUGCACUGUUCUCCCUGCAAGAGAAAUGGAGAGUGCACAUUCCAGAAAGGAGGAUGGGCAAGGGAGAGGUAGAAUAGGUAAAUCUUGGCACAAAACCCUGCAAUGGCAGAUUUCUGGGCCAAAAUUUACACCUUAAAUGGGGCGGGGGGUGGGGGGGAAGCAAGAAAAAAAAAAAGCAUUGAUUAAACAGACAUCCUGACCAUGGCAGACAUUAGCAAUUGACUGUAGAACUCAGAAUAAACUUGAUCAAAUCAUUCAUCUGA
Mus musculus (house mouse) is the source of this 5503-nucleotide long non-coding RNA. RefSeq annotates it as predicted gene, 51454. The transcript is spliced from 2 exons. NCBI's taxonomy places the organism in Eukaryota, Metazoa, Chordata, Mammalia, Rodentia, Muridae. The record is from RefSeq and is a predicted model, not a curated record.